This 200-nucleotide ribosomal RNA is filed under the name uncultured bacterium. RNAcentral describes it as "partial 16S ribosomal RNA". It matches the Rfam family "Bacterial small subunit ribosomal RNA", at positions 29 to 224 of the family's 1533-position model. The record is from RNAcentral.
AGUGAACGCUGGCGGUAGGCCUAACACAUGCAAGUCGAACGGCAGCACAGAGGAGCUUGCUCCUUGGGUGGCGAGUGGCGGACGGGUGAGGAAUACAUCGGAAUCUACUUUUUCGUGGGGGAUAACGUAGGGAAACUUACGCUAAUACCGCAUACGACCUACGGGUGAAAGCAGGGGAUCUUCGGACCUUGCGCGAUUGA